This 2901-nucleotide ribosomal RNA is filed under the name Klebsiella pneumoniae. RNAcentral describes it as "bacterial LSU rRNA". It matches the Rfam family "Bacterial large subunit ribosomal RNA". The record is from RNAcentral. Lineage: Bacteria; Pseudomonadati; Pseudomonadota; Gammaproteobacteria; Enterobacterales; Enterobacteriaceae.
UUAAGCGACUAAGCGUACACGGUGGAUGCCCUGGCAGUCAGAGGCGAUGAAGGACGUGCUAAUCUGCGAAAAGCGUCGGUAAGGUGAUAUGAACCGUUAUAACCGGCGAUGUCCGAAUGGGGAAACCCAGUGUGAUUCGUCACACUAUCGUUAACUGAAUACAUAGGUUAACGAGGCGAACCGGGGGAACUGAAACAUCUAAGUACCCCGAGGAAAAGAAAUCAACCGAGAUUCCCCCAGUAGCGGCGAGCGAACGGGGAGCAGCCCAGAGUCUGAAUCAGCUUGUGUGUUAGUGGAACGGUCUGGAAAGUCCGACGGUACAGGGUGAUAGUCCCGUACACCAAAAUGCACAGGCUGUGAACUCGAAGAGUAGGGCGGGACACGUGGUAUCCUGUCUGAAUAUGGGGGGACCAUCCUCCAAGGCUAAAUACUCCUGACUGACCGAUAGUGAACCAGUACCGUGAGGGAAAGGCGAAAAGAACCCCGGCGAGGGGAGUGAAAAAGAACCUGAAACCGUGUACGUACAAGCAGUGGGAGCACCUUCGGGUGUGACUGCGUACCUUUUGUAUAAUGGGUCAGCGACUUAUAUUCUGUAGCAAGGUUAACCGUAUAGGGGAGCCGCAGGGAAACCGAGUCUUAACUGGGCGUUAAGUUGCAGGGUAUAGACCCGAAACCCGGUGAUCUAGCCAUGGGCAGGUUGAAGGUUGGGUAACACUAACUGGAGGACCGAACCGACUAAUGUUGAAAAAUUAGCGGAUGACUUGUGGCUGGGGGUGAAAGGCCAAUCAAACCGGGAGAUAGCUGGUUCUCCCCGAAAGCUAUUUAGGUAGCGCCUCGUGAACUCAUCUUCGGGGGUAGAGCACUGUUUCGGCUAGGGGGUCAUCCCGACUUACCAACCCGAUGCAAACUACGAAUACCGAAGAAUGUUAUCACGGGAGACACACGGCGGGUGCUAACGUCCGUCGUGAAGAGGGAAACAACCCAGACCGCCAGCUAAGGUCCCAAAGUCAUGGUUAAGUGGGAAACGAUGUGGGAAGGCACAGACAGCCAGGAUGUUGGCUUAGAAGCAGCCAUCAUUUAAAGAAAGCGUAAUAGCUCACUGGUCGAGUCGGCCUGCGCGGAAGAUGUAACGGGGCUAAACCAUGCACCGAAGCUGCGGCAGCGACACUAUGUGUUGUUGGGUAGGGGAGCGUUCUGUAAGCCUGCGAAGGUGACCUGUGAGGGUUGCUGGAGGUAUCAGAAGUGCGAAUGCUGACAUAAGUAACGAUAAAGCGGGUGAAAAGCCCGCUCGCCGGAAGACCAAGGGUUCCUGUCCAACGUUAAUCGGGGCAGGGUGAGUCGACCCCUAAGGCGAGGCCGAAAGGCGUAGUCGAUGGGAAACAGGUUAAUAUUCCUGUACUUGGUGUUACUGCGAAGGGGGGACGGAGAAGGCUAUGUUAGCCGGGCGACGGUUGUCCCGGUUUAAGCAUGUAGGCUGGUUAUCCAGGCAAAUCCGGAUAAUCAAGGCUGAGGUGUGAUGACGAGGCACUACGGUGCUGAAGUAACAAAUGCCCUGCUUCCAGGAAAAGCCUCUAAGCAUCAGGUAACAUCAAAUCGUACCCCAAACCGACACAGGUGGUCAGGUAGAGAAUACCAAGGCGCUUGAGAGAACUCGGGUGAAGGAACUAGGCAAAAUGGUGCCGUAACUUCGGGAGAAGGCACGCUGGUGUGUAGGUGAAGCCCCUGCGGGUGGAGCUGAGACCAGUCGAAGAUACCAGCUGGCUGCAACUGUUUAUUAAAAACACAGCACUGUGCAAACACGAAAGUGGACGUAUACGGUGUGACGCCUGCCCGGUGCCGGAAGGUUAAUUGAUGGGGUUAUCCGUAAGGAGAAGCUCUUGAUCGAAGCCCCGGUAAACGGCGGCCGUAACUAUAACGGUCCUAAGGUAGCGAAAUUCCUUGUCGGGUAAGUUCCGACCUGCACGAAUGGCGUAAUGAUGGCCAGGCUGUCUCCACCCGAGACUCAGUGAAAUUGAACUCGCUGUGAAGAUGCAGUGUACCCGCGGCAAGACGGAAAGACCCCGUGAACCUUUACUAUAGCUUGACACUGAACAUUGAGCCUUGAUGUGUAGGAUAGGUGGGAGGCUUUGAAGCGUGGACGCCAGUCUGCGUGGAGCCAACCUUGAAAUACCACCCUUUAAUGUUUGAUGUUCUAACGUUGGCCCCUUACCGGGGUUGCGGACAGUGUCUGGUGGGUAGUUUGACUGGGGCGGUCUCCUCCCAAAGCGUAACGGAGGAGCACGAAGGUUAGCUAAUCCUGGUCGGACAUCAGGAGGUUAGUGCAAUGGCAUAAGCUAGCUUGACUGCGAGCGUGACGGCGCGAGCAGGUGCGAAAGCAGGUCAUAGUGAUCCGGUGGUUCUGAAUGGAAGGGCCAUCGCUCAACGGAUAAAAGGUACUCCGGGGAUAACAGGCUGAUACCGCCCAAGAGUUCAUAUCGACGGCGGUGUUUGGCACCUCGAUGUCGGCUCAUCACAUCCUGGGGGCUGAAGUAGGUCCCAAGGGUAUGGCUGUUCGCCAUUUAAAGUGGUACGCGAGCUGGGUUUAGAACGUCGUGAGACAGUUCGGUCCCUAUCUGCCGUGGGCGCUGGAGAAUUGAGGGGGGCUGCUCCUAGUACGAGAGGACCGGAGUGGACGCAUCACUGGUGUUCGGGUUGUCAUGCCAAUGGCACUGCCCGGUAGCUAAAUGCGGAAGAGAUAAGUGCUGAAAGCAUCUAAGCACGAAACUUGCCCCGAGAUGAGUUCUCCCUGAGACUUUAAGUCUCCUGAAGGAACGUUGAAGACGACGACGUUGAUAGGCCGGGUGUGUAAGCGCAGCGAUGCGUUGAGCUAACCGGUACUAAUGAACCGUGAGGCUUAACCUU